Molecule: ribosomal RNA, 1346 nt
Filed under: uncultured bacterium
Lineage: Bacteria
Description: partial 16S ribosomal RNA
Rfam family: Bacterial small subunit ribosomal RNA
Source: RNAcentral
GACGAACGCUGGCGGCGUGCUUAACACAUGCAAGUCGAACGGAAAGGCCCUGCUUUUGUGGGGUGCUCGAGUGGCGAACGGGUGAGUAACACGUGAGUAACCUGCCCUUGACUUUGGGAUAACUUCAGGAAACUGGGGCUAAUACCGGAUAGGAGCUCCUGCUGCAUGGUGGGGGUUGGAAAGUUUCGGCGGUUGGGGAUGGACUCGCGGCUUAUCAGCUUGUUGGUGGGGUAGUGGCUUACCAAGGCUUUGACGGGUAGCCGGCCUGAGAGGGUGACCGGCCACAUUGGGACUGAGAUACGGCCCAGACUCCUACGGGAGGCAGCAGUGGGGAAUAUUGCACAAUGGGCGGAAGCCUGAUGCAACAACGCCGCGUGCGGGAUGACGGCCUUCGGGUUGUAAACCGCUUUCGCCUGUGACGAAGCGUGAGUGACGGUAAUGGGUAAAGAAGCACCGGCUAACUACGUGCCAGCAGCCGCGGUGAUACGUAGGGUGCGAGCGUUGUCCGGAUUUAUUGGGCGUAAAGGGCUCGUAGGUGGUUGAUCGCGUCGGAAGUGUAAUCUUGGGGCUUAACCCUGAGCGUGCUUUCGAUACGGGUUGACUUGAGGAAGGUAGGGGAGAAUGGAAUUCCUGGUGGAGCGGUGGAAUGCGCAGAUAUCAGGAGGAACACCAGUGGCGAAGGCGGUUCUCUGGGCCUUUCCUGACGCUGAGGAGCGAAAGCGUGGGGAGCGAACAGGCUUAGAUACCCUGGUAGUCCACGCUGUAAACGGUGGGUACUAGGUGUGGGGCCCAUUCCACGGGUUCCGUGCCGUAGCUAACGCUUUAAGUACCCCGCCUGGGGAGUACGGCCGCAAGGCUAAAACUCAAAGGAAUUGACGGGGCUCCGCACAAGCGGCGGAGCAUGCGGAUUAAUUCGAUGCAACGCGUAGAACCUUACCUGGGUUUGACAUGGAUCGGGAGUGCUCAGAGAUGGGUGUGCCUCUUUUGGGGUCGGUUCACAGGUGGUGCAUGGCUGUCGUCAGCUCGUGUCGUGAGAUGUUGGGUUAAGUCCCGCAACGAGCGCAACCCUUGUUCACUGUUGCCAGCACGUUAUGGUGGGGACUCAGUGGAGACCGCCGGGGUCAACUCGGAGGAAGGUGGGGAUGACGUCAAGUCAUCAUGCCCCUUAUGUCCAGGGCUUCACGCAUGCUACAAUGGCUGGUACAGAGAGUGGCGAGCCUGUGAGGGUGAGCGAAUCUCGGAAAGCCGGUCUCAGUUCGGAUUGGGGUCUGCAACUCGACCUCAUGGAGUCGGAGUCGCUAGUAAUCGCAGAUCAGCAACGCUGCGGUGAAUACGUUCCCGGGGCU